RNAcentral lists this ribosomal RNA (433 nucleotides) under uncultured bacterium. Its description in RNAcentral is "partial 16S ribosomal RNA". It matches the Rfam family "Bacterial small subunit ribosomal RNA", at positions 29 to 507 of the family's 1533-position model. The record is from RNAcentral.
AACGAACGCUGGCGGCAUGCCUAACACAUGCAAGUCGAACGAGACCUUCGGGUCUAGUGGCGCACGGGUGCGUAACGCGUGGGAACCUGCCUUUAGGUUCGGAAUAACUCAGAGAAAUUUGAGCUAAUACCGGAUGAUGUCUUCGGACCAAAGAUUUAUCGCCUAUAGAUGGGCCCGCGUUGGAUUAGCUAGUUGGUGGGGUAAAGGCCUACCAAGGCGACGAUCCAUAGCUGGUCUGAGAGGAUGAUCAGCCACACUGGGACUGAGACACGGCCCAGACUCCUACGGGAGGCAGCAGUGGGGAAUAUUGGACAAUGGGCGAAAGCCUGAUCCAGCAAUGCCGCGUGAGUGAUGAAGGCCUUAGGGUUGUAAAGCUCUUUUACCCGAGAUGAUAAUGACAGUAUCGGGAGAAUAAGCUCCGGCUAACUCCGUG